UUCCUAGGAUCGUUGCACAAA
Caenorhabditis elegans is the source of this 21-nucleotide non-coding RNA. Lineage: Eukaryota; Metazoa; Nematoda; Chromadorea; Rhabditida; Rhabditidae. The record is from Ensembl.